AUGUCCUCAAGUCGUUCUUUCAUUCAAGCACCAUUCUCAUCUAUAAAAUCAGGCACACGAUUAUAUCUGCAGUUCCUCUUUUGUCUAAUUGGCCGGAGAAUCAGGAAAGCUUAUGUGCAAGGUUGCUUAAGGCAAAAAACGCAGGUGUAUUAUUGCUGGACAAAAUUUGGCUUACCAGCCCCCCUCCACUCGCCCCCGCAUCGCCCCCGGGCGACACGGGGGAACCCUAGCGCCGCCGCCGCCGGAUCCCCCUCGCCCCCUCCCUCGCUUCGCCGCCGCUGGAGGGGCCGUCGGCAAAGUCCGCGCGCGCCCCAGGGAAGGUGGCGCGCGGGGCAUUUCCCCUCUCCGCGGCGUUGCGCGCGCAUGUGUUGCCUGUGUUGCCUCGGGCGCGGGCGAGAUGCAGGGCCGCGGGAGUGGCUUCAGCGCGGGAAGAGGCCGGAUCCUAGCCGGGCUUGGCCGGAUCUAGCUUCUUCGUCCCCGUUGGCCGCCCUCGAUGGGGCUCGGUGGCUUCGUUCCGGCGGCCAGCGAGGGCUGGAUCCCGGGGCGGCGGCCUCGGACGGCGGAGGAUGUGUCGGCGGCUGUGGACUCGCAACGGGCGACGCGGCGGCGACGGUGGUGGACAAUCGUGCACAAAACGCUGGAUGGAGGCCAUUGGAACAGAUCUGGGUGAAGACCUGCUUGCGGCUGCAGCCGAGGCCGGCGAUGGCGGCACUAUUCGGCGUCGUUCCUUUGUUGAAGGCAUCGCUGUUGAGAAGUUUCAGGCCACUAUCUGCUACCUCCGGGGGAAACCCUAGAUCAGUAGAUUGGAUGACGACAGCAUUAUUGUGUCGUUUUCCCUCUUGUGGCGUCAUUCUUGGAGGUGUACAUGGGCUCGAGGGACGAGUGGACGGAAUAAUUGGUGGAGCGGUGUUCCAUCCUGCACAUUAA
This 927-nucleotide ribosomal RNA is filed under the name Triticum aestivum (bread wheat). RNAcentral's name for it is "partial small subunit ribosomal RNA". Lineage: Eukaryota; Viridiplantae; Streptophyta; Magnoliopsida; Poales; Poaceae. The record is from RNAcentral.